GAAGAAGAACGUAGCGAAAUGCGAUACUUGGUGUGAAUUGCAGAAUCCCGUGAACCAUCGAGUCUUUGAACGCAAGUUGCGCCCGAAGCCACUAGGCCGAGGGCACGCCUGCCUGGGCGUCACACGCCGUUGCCCCCCCAUCUACUCCUUCGGGAUUGCGGGGGGGCGGAUGAUGGCCUCCUGUGCGCCUAGCCGCGCGGUUGGCAUAAAUACCAAGUCCUCGGCGACGCACGCCACGACAAUCGGUGGUUGCGAAACCUCGGUUGCCCGUCGUGUGCGUUCGUCGCGCAUCGAGGGCUCGAAAAAAUGCUCGGCUCCGGCUGGGCUUUCAACGCGACCCCAGGUCAGGCGGGGUUACCCGCUGAAUUUAAGCAUAUCAAUAAGCGGAGGA
Molecule: unclassified non-coding RNA, 391 nt
Filed under: soil metagenome
Description: partial contains 5.8S ribosomal RNA, internal transcribed spacer 2, and large subunit ribosomal RNA
Rfam family: 5.8S ribosomal RNA (bases 1-122)
Source: RNAcentral